UACGUAGGGUGCAAGCGUUAAUCGGAAUUACUGGGCGUAAAGCGUGCGCAGGCGGUUGUGCAAGACAGAUGUGAAAUCCCCGGGCUUAACCUGGGAAUUGCAUUUGUGACUGCCCGGCUAGAAUCUGGCAGAGGGGGGUAGAAUUCCACGUGUAGCAGUGAAAUGCGUAGAGAUGUGGAGGAAUACCGAUGGCGAAGGCAGCCCCCUGGGCUAAGAUUGACGCUCAUGCACGAAAGCGUGGGGAGCAAACAGG
This 253-nucleotide ribosomal RNA is filed under the name uncultured bacterium. RNAcentral's name for it is "partial 16S ribosomal RNA". It matches the Rfam family "Bacterial small subunit ribosomal RNA", at positions 524 to 776 of the family's 1533-position model. The record is from RNAcentral.